CGGCGAACGGGUGAGUAACACGUGAGCAACCUGCCCCGAAGACUGGGAUAACACCGGGAAACCGGUGCUAAUACCGGAUACCCCCACCAGGCCGCAUGACCAGGUGAGGAAAUGAAUUUCGCUUCGGGAGGGGCUCGCGGGCUAUCAGCUUGUUGGUGAGGUAACGGCCCACCAAGGCGACGACGGCUAGCUGGUCUGAGAGGACGACCAGCCACACUGGGACUGAGACACGGCCCAG
Molecule: ribosomal RNA, 238 nt
Filed under: uncultured bacterium
Lineage: Bacteria
Description: partial 16S ribosomal RNA
Rfam family: Bacterial small subunit ribosomal RNA
Source: RNAcentral